Molecule: ribosomal RNA, 334 nt
Filed under: uncultured eukaryote
Lineage: Eukaryota
Description: partial 18S ribosomal RNA
Rfam family: Eukaryotic small subunit ribosomal RNA
Source: RNAcentral
CCCUUAGAUGUUCUGGGCCGCACGCGCGCUACACUGAUGCAUUCAACGAGUCUAAAACCUGCUCUGAUAGGGGUGGGUAAUCUUUUGAAUGUGCAUCGUGAUUGGGAUAGAUGAUUGCAAUUGUCGAUCUUGAACGAGGAAUUCCUAGUAAGCGCGAGUCAUCAGCUCGCGCUGAUUACGUCCCUGCCCUUUGUACACACCGCCCGUCGCUACUACCGAUUGGAUGGUUUAGCGAGAACUUUGGACCGGAGCUCGGGUGGUCAGCAAUGGCCGCCCGAGACAUACUGGGAAAUCGCUCCAGCUUGAUCAUCUAGAGGAAGUAAAAGUCGUAACA